ACGGAAGGCAGCAGUGGGGAAUAUUGCACAAUGGGCGAAAGCCUGAUGCAGCGACGCCGCGUGAGUGAAGAAGUAUCUCGGUAUGUAAAGCUCUAUCAGCAGGGAAGAAAAUGACGGUACCUGACUAAGAAGCCCCGGCUAACUACGUGCCAGCAGCCGCGGUAAUACGUAGGGGGCAAGCGUUAUCCGGAUUUACUGGGUGUAAAGGGAGCGUAGACGGUUUGGCAAGUCUGAAGUGAAAUGCGGGGGCUCAACUCCUGAACUGCUUUGGAAACUGUCGAACUAGAGUGCAGGAGAGGUAAGUGGAAUUCCUAGUGUAGCGGUGAGAUGCGUAGAUAUUAGGAGGAACACCAGUGGCGAAGGCGGCUUACUGGACUGUAACUGACGUUGAGGCUCGAAAGCGUGGGGAGCAAACAGGAUUAGAUACCCUGGUA
RNAcentral lists this ribosomal RNA (434 nucleotides) under uncultured Clostridium sp. Its description in RNAcentral is "partial 16S ribosomal RNA". It matches the Rfam family "Bacterial small subunit ribosomal RNA", at positions 341 to 792 of the family's 1533-position model. The record is from RNAcentral. RNAcentral also lists the same sequence under 1 other name. Lineage: Bacteria; Bacillati; Bacillota; Clostridia; Eubacteriales; Clostridiaceae.